UUGGACCUAUUUGGCCCGUGUUGGCUAGCCAAGAAUGAAACCAAGUCACAUGUCAAGGCACUACAACAUACCAAAAUGGACACCCCAAUUCCAAGGGGAAGGAAUUCUGGCUUCAUUUUUUCCAGUGUUUUGGGACACGCUUUGUUAUCCUUCCUGGAUGUUCUGUUUUAGGAGUUGAUGUGAGUCCACACAUUCAGAACACAGUCUUGCGUGUAAGGAAAUUUGCUUGAAAAUGUAAAGAGGUGAGUGUGUAUUGAAACUGUUUGGCUAUGGGAGAUGGGCAUUUGGUUCUGGUUAACUUUCCCCUUUUUCUCUAUCUUUGACUAUGUUCAAGGCAUUUGAGAAAUGAAAAGAGAUGGCAUGAAUAUUUCUUGGUUCUUCCACCUGAUGAAUAGUAAAGAAUUUAGAAUCUAAAAUGGCUCAUGAUGCCUGUUAGGUUCUUAAGAUCUGGUAAAAAUUAUUCCUAUUCAACAGAUCAAGAGAAGAAAUAAUUUGUUAAUUGAAAAGGCAUCCAACAACUAGCCUGGUCAAACAUAUAAUGCCUGGGAGUAAGAGGACCU
Molecule: long non-coding RNA, 560 nt
Filed under: Ornithorhynchus anatinus (platypus)
Lineage: Eukaryota; Metazoa; Chordata; Mammalia; Monotremata; Ornithorhynchidae
Description: lncRNA (ENSOANG00000051189.1)
Source: RNAcentral